UACGUAGGGUGCGAGCGUUGUCCGGAAUUAUUGGGCGUAAAGAGCUCGUAGGCGGUGUGUCACGUCGGCCGUGAAAACCUGCAGCUUAACUGUGGGCGUGCGGGCGAUACGGGCAGACUGGAGUACUGCAGGGGAGACUGGAAUUCCUGGUGUAGCGGUGGAAUGCGCAGAUAUCAGGAGGAACACCGGUGGCGAAGGCGGGUCUCUGGGCAGUAACUGACGCUGAGGAGCGAAAGCGUGGGGAGCGAACAGG
This 253-nucleotide ribosomal RNA is filed under the name uncultured bacterium. Its description in RNAcentral is "partial 16S ribosomal RNA". It matches the Rfam family "Bacterial small subunit ribosomal RNA", at positions 524 to 776 of the family's 1533-position model. The record is from RNAcentral.